RNAcentral lists this ribosomal RNA (267 nucleotides) under uncultured bacterium. RNAcentral describes it as "partial 16S ribosomal RNA". It matches the Rfam family "Bacterial small subunit ribosomal RNA", at positions 89 to 354 of the family's 1533-position model. The record is from RNAcentral.
UGGCGACCGGCGUACGGGUGAGUAACGCGUAUCCAACCUGCCCUUUACUAUGGGACAGCCCGUCGAAAGGCGGAUUAAUACCGUAUGUUGUCAUGUUGAUGCAUAUUUUCAUGACCAAAGGCUUCGGCCGGUAAAGGAUGGGGAUGCGUCUGAUUAGCUUGCCGGCGGGGUAACGGCCCACCGGGGCGACGAUCAGUAGCCGACCUGAGAGGGUGACCGGCCACAUUGGGACUGAGACACGGCCCAAACUCCUACGGAAGGCAGCAG